AGAGUUUGAUCCUGGCUCAGGAUGAACGCUAGCGACAGGCUUAACACAUGCAAGUCGAGGGGCAGCACAGGUAGCAAUACCGGGUGGCGACCGGCGCACGGGUGAGUAACGCGUAUGCAACUUGCCUAUCAGAGGGGGAUAACCCGGCGAAAGUCGGACUAAUACCGCAUGAAGCAGGGAUCCCGCAUGGGAAUAUUUGCUAAAGAUUCAUCGCUGAUAGAUAGGCAUGCGUUCCAUUAGGCAGUUGGCGGGGUAACGGCCCACCAAACCGACGAUGGAUAGGGGUUCUGAGAGGAAGGUCCCCCACAUUGGUACUGAGACACGGACCAAACUCCUACGGGAGGCAGCAGUGAGGAAUAUUGGUCAAUGGCCGAGAGGCUGAACCAGCCAAGUCGCGUGAGGGAUGAAGGUUCUAUGGAUCGUAAACCUCUUUUAUAAGGGAAUAAAGUGCGGGACGUGUCCCGUUUUGUAUGUACCUUAUGAAUAAGGAUCGGCUAACUCCGUGCCAGCAGCCGCGGUAAUACGGAGGAUCCGAGCGUUAUCCGGAUUUAUUGGGUUUAAAGGGUGCGUAGGCGGCCUUUUAAGUCAGCGGUGAAAGUCUGUGGCUCAACCAUAGAAUUGCCGUUGAAACUGGGGGGCUUGAGUAUGUUUGAGGCAGGCGGAAUGCGUGGUGUAGCGGUGAAAUGCAUAGAUAUCACGCAGAACCCCGAUUGCGAAGGCAGCCUGCCAAGCCAUUACUGACGCUGAUGCACGAAAGCGUGGGGAUCAAACAGGAUUAGAUACCCUGGUAGUCCACGCAGUAAACGAUGAUCACUAGCUGUUUGCGAUACACUGUAAGCGGCACAGCGAAAGCGUUAAGUGAUCCACCUGGGGAGUACGCCGGCAACGGUGAAACUCAAAGGAAUUGACGGGGGCCCGCACAAGCGGAGGAACAUGUGGUUUAAUUCGAUGAUACGCGAGGAACCUUACCCGGGUUUGAACGCAUUCGGACCGAGGUGGAAACACCUUUUCUAGCAAUAGCCGUUUGCGAGGUGCUGCAUGGUUGUCGUCAGCUCGUGCCGUGAGGUGUCGGCUUAAGUGCCAUAACGAGCGCAACCCUUGCCACUAGUUACUAACAGGUUAGGCUGAGGACUCUGGUGGGACUGCCAGCGUAAGCUGCGAGGAAGGCGGGGAUGACGUCAAAUCAGCACGGCCCUUACAUCCGGGGCGACACACGUGUUACAAUGGCGUGGACAAAGGGAGGCCACCUGGCGACAGGGAGCGAAUCCCCAAACCACGUCUCAGUUCGGAUCGGAGUCUGCAACCCGACUCCGUGAAGCUGGAUUCGCUAGUAAUCGCGCAUCAGCCAUGGCGCGGUGAAUACGUUCCCGGGCCUUGUACACACCGCCCGUCAAGCCAUGGGAGCCGGGGGUACCUGAAGUCCGUAACCGAAAGGAUCGGCCUAGGGUAAAACUGGUGACUGGGGCUAAGUCGUAACAAGGUAGCCGUACCGGAAGGUGCGGCUGGAACACCU
RNAcentral lists this ribosomal RNA (1513 nucleotides) under Parabacteroides distasonis. Its description in RNAcentral is "bacterial SSU rRNA". It matches the Rfam family "Bacterial small subunit ribosomal RNA". The record is from RNAcentral. Lineage: Bacteria; Pseudomonadati; Bacteroidota; Bacteroidia; Bacteroidales; Tannerellaceae.